RNAcentral lists this ribosomal RNA (466 nucleotides) under uncultured bacterium. RNAcentral describes it as "partial 16S ribosomal RNA". It matches the Rfam family "Bacterial small subunit ribosomal RNA", at positions 28 to 507 of the family's 1533-position model. The record is from RNAcentral.
GACGAACGCUGGCGGCGUGCUUAACACAUGCAAGUCGAACGGAAAGGCCCUGCUUGCAGGGUACUCGAGUGGCGAACGGGUGAGUAACACGUGGGUGAUCUGCCCUGCACUUCGGGAUAAGCCUGGGAAACUGGGUCUAAUACCGGAUAGGAGCCAUUUUUAGUGUGAUGGUUGGAAAGUUUUUUUCGGUGUAGGAUGAGCUCGCGGCCUAUCAGCUUGUUGGUGGGGUAAUGGCCUACCAAGGCGGCGACGGGUAGCCGGCCUGAGAGGGUGGACGGCCACAUUGGGACUGAGAUACGGCCCAGACUCCGACGGGAGGCAGCAGUGGGGAAUAUUGCACAAUGGGCGCAAGCCUGAUGCAGCGACGCCGCGGGGGGGAUGACGGCCUUCGGGUUGUAAACUCCUUUCGCUAGGGACGAAGCUUUUUGUGACGGUACCUAGAUAAGAAGCACCGGCUAACUACGUG